This is a long non-coding RNA of Saccostrea cuccullata (small rock oyster), 522 nucleotides long. RefSeq lists it as uncharacterized. The record is from RefSeq and is a predicted model, not a curated record. The transcript is spliced from 3 exons. Lineage: Eukaryota; Metazoa; Mollusca; Bivalvia; Ostreida; Ostreidae.
AUCCUACCCUUAAAGGAGCCGUUUAUCUUAUUUCCAGACACCUCUGCUUGACAGAAUGCAAAGUUUUUAUGACAAUGCAGAGUCAAGAUAUUGUGACAAGAUAUGCCAGCUUGAAGAAGACCAUCCAGUGAUCAUGGUGUUCCACUCAAUUUUUCAGAAUUAUGUGUCAGAUUGAAAUUCAUCUUAUGGUGCACAAAACAAUCAGGAUAUUCUUCUGGAUCUAGUCCAAAGUAUUGACAGAACCAAAGAAUACCUGAUAGUCUGUAAAUGGAGUGAUCAUUCUGAUUGGAUGAACCAGGCAACACUGAUUAUCUCAAGAAAUUUUAGGCUAGAGACUCCAUCUUCAUUCAUAAAUGAUUGAUGUUGACAUUUUCUCACGGGCUUUUGUUUCAUAUCUUCUUUUUCAUAACAUGGACAUUAUGCAGCAUCAGUUAUCCUGUCAAAGUGUUCAAAGUAAUUGAUUCUGAGACUUAUUUAAAAUCUGUUAUUAAACAAGCUGUAAUAAAAUCAUGAUAGCAAUAA